This 500-nucleotide ribosomal RNA is filed under the name uncultured bacterium. Its description in RNAcentral is "partial 16S ribosomal RNA". It matches the Rfam family "Bacterial small subunit ribosomal RNA", at positions 30 to 523 of the family's 1533-position model. The record is from RNAcentral.
AUUGAACGCUGGCGGCAUGCCUUACACAUGCAAGUCGAACGGAAGCACGGGAGCAAUCCUGGUGGCGAGUGGCGAACGGGUGAGUACUGUAUCGGAACGUGCCCAGUCGUGGGGGAUAACGUAGCGAAAGCUACGCUAAUCCCGCAUACGAACUGUGGCUGAAAGCGGGGGACCGUAAGGCCUCGCGCGAAUGGAGCAGCCGAUAUCAGAUUAGGUAGUUAGUGGGUUAAAGGCCUACCAAGCAGACGAUCUGUAGCUGGUCUGAGAGGACCACCAGCCACACAGGUACUGAGACACGGCCCAGACUCCUACGGGAGGCAGCAGUAGGGAAUUUUGGACAAUGGACGCAAGCCUGAGCCAGCAAUGCCGCGUGCAGGAUGAAGGCCUUCGGGUUGUAAACUGCUUUUGUACGGAGCGAAAAGGCUCUCUCUAAUACAGGGGGCUCAUGACGGUACCGUAAUAAUAAGCACCGGCUAACUACGUGCCAGCCGCCGCAGUAA